AAUUUACGGCUGGAAGCGCGCUUUUGCA
Molecule: non-coding RNA, 28 nt
Filed under: Cricetulus griseus (Chinese hamster)
Lineage: Eukaryota; Metazoa; Chordata; Mammalia; Rodentia; Cricetidae
Source: RNAcentral